This 261-nucleotide ribosomal RNA is filed under the name uncultured prokaryote. RNAcentral's name for it is "partial 16S ribosomal RNA". It matches the Rfam family "Bacterial small subunit ribosomal RNA", at positions 524 to 784 of the family's 1533-position model. The record is from RNAcentral.
UACGGAGGAUCCGAGCGUUAUCCGGAAUUAUUGGGUUUAAAGGGUGCGUAGGCGGCCAUUUAAGUCAGUGGUGAAAUUUUGCAGCUUAACUGUAACAGUGCCGUUGAUACUGUUUGGCUAGGAUUUGGUUGUAGUGUGCGGAAUGUGUGGUGUAGCGGUGAAAUGCUUAGAUAUCACACAGAACACCGAUUGCGAAGGCAGCACACUAAGUCAUUAUUGACGCUGAGGCACGAAAGUGUGGGGAUCAAACAGGAUUAGAUA